Molecule: ribosomal RNA, 253 nt
Filed under: uncultured bacterium
Lineage: Bacteria
Also listed under: 2 other names
Description: partial 16S ribosomal RNA
Rfam family: Bacterial small subunit ribosomal RNA
Source: RNAcentral
UACGAAGGGUGCAAGCGUUAAUCGGAAUUACUGGGCGUAAAGCGUGCGUAGGCGGUUUGUUAAGUCUGCUGUGAAAUCCCCGGGCUCAACCUGGGAAUGGCAGUGGAUACUGGCAAGCUAGAGUGUGUCAGAGGAUGGUGGAAUUCCCGGUGUAGCGGUGAAAUGCGUAGAGAUCGGGAGGAACAUCAGUGGCGAAGGCGGCCAUCUGGGACAACACUGACGCUGAGGCACGAAAGCGUGGGGAGCAAACAGG